Paramuricea clavata is the source of this 534-nucleotide non-coding RNA. The record is from the annotation of a GenBank genome assembly. NCBI's taxonomy places the organism in Eukaryota, Metazoa, Cnidaria, Anthozoa, Malacalcyonacea, Plexauridae.
CGAACCUACGACCUUUGGAAUACUAGCCCAAUGCUCUGCCAACUGAGCUACACGGUCAGGUCGGUUCGAGUAUGCGAUAUUUCGGAACUGAGUCUAUAGUUCCUUCGAUAUCAGUGUAAUCUAAGCAUGAUAUUUGCUGUACGUGGCCAGGCAUAUUUUUCAAGCCUGCCCGGUGUGGAUAUACACUCAGAGUAGCAUCACACAAGCAUCUUAUUCACCUGAGUACAUUACAUCAACACAGCAAAUAUCGUGUAUAAAUAGUUUUAAAUAAUGAUAAUAAUAAUAUUCUCGCAUGAUCUGUUUCCUCCAAUAUAUACGGUUGUCUAUGAGAAAAAUCCUGCGCCCUGCGGGCAAAAUUUCAUUCCCUAAUCCCCGUUUUAUUUCCCUAAUCCGCGUUUUAUUUCCCCAUCCGCGUUUUAUUCACUCGUCCGCAUUUUCCACCAUCCGUUAUCUCAUCUCCUUUCCGUGUCUGCCAGGCAUUAAAAUAAGCGUGUUUUUUACACACUUUGUGUCCUUAAUUGUAAAAGCAAAAAG